GAUGAACGCUGGCGGCGUGCUUAACACAUGCAAGUCGAACGAAGCAUUUAAGACAGAUUCCUUCGGUUUGAAGUCUUUUAUGACUGAGUGGCGGACGGGUGAGUAACGCGUGGGUAACCUGCCUCAUACAGGGGGAUAGCAGCUGGAAACGGCUGGUAAUACCGCAUAAGCGCACAGUACCACAUGGUACAGUGUGAAAACCUCCGGUGGUAUGAGAUGGACCCGCGUCUGAUUAGCUUGUUGGCGGGGUAACGGGCCACCAAGGCGACGAUCAGUAGCCGACCUGAGAGGCGGGCCGGCCACAUUGGCGCGGAGACACGGUCCAGACUCUUACGGGAUGCAGCAGUGGGGAAUAUUGCACAACGGAGGAAACUAUGAUGCACCGACGCCGCGUGAGUGAAGAAGUAGUUGGCGAUGUAAAGCUCUAUCAGCAGGGAAGAUAGUGACGGUACCUGACGAAGAAGCUCCGGCUAAAUACGUG
RNAcentral lists this ribosomal RNA (481 nucleotides) under uncultured bacterium. RNAcentral describes it as "partial 16S ribosomal RNA". It matches the Rfam family "Bacterial small subunit ribosomal RNA", at positions 28 to 507 of the family's 1533-position model. The record is from RNAcentral.